UGCCAGACUCCUACGGGAGGCAGCAGUGAGGAAUAUUGGUCAAUGGCCGAGAGGCUGAACCAGCCAAGUCGCGUGAGGGAAGACGGCCCUAUGGGUUGUAAACCUCUUUUGUCAGGGAGCAAUUGGCGCUACGUGUAGCGUUAUCGAGAGUACCUGAAGAAAAAGCAUCGGCUAACUCCGUGCCAGCAGCCGCGGUAAUACGGAGGAUGCGAGCGUUAUCCGGAUUUAUUGGGUUUAAAGGGUGCGUAGGCGGAAUGCCAAGUCAGCGGUAAAAUCGCGGGGCUCAACCCCGUACUGCCGUUGAAACUGCAUCCCUUGAGUGCGCGAGAAGUAUGCGGAAUGCGUGGUGUAGCGGUGAAAUGCAUAGAUAUCACGCAGAACUCCGAUUGCGAAGGCAGCAUACCGGCGCGCAACUGACGCUCAUGCACGAAAGCGUGGGUAUCGAACAGGAUUAGAUACCCCAGUAGAU
Molecule: ribosomal RNA, 469 nt
Filed under: uncultured bacterium
Lineage: Bacteria
Description: bacterial SSU rRNA
Rfam family: Bacterial small subunit ribosomal RNA
Source: RNAcentral